Molecule: long non-coding RNA, 236 nt
Filed under: Elaeis guineensis (African oil palm)
Lineage: Eukaryota; Viridiplantae; Streptophyta; Magnoliopsida; Arecales; Arecaceae
Description: long non-coding RNA (EGUI_LNC059388)
Source: RNAcentral
AAUCCUUGAUCUCUGAGUCACUAGAACUUCUUCUAGGCGUGUGGAAGAGAGAGCACCCAACUUUUGGGUGUGGAAAGGAAGAAAAUGAUGAGAGGAGGUAUGGAGAUGGAGAGAGAGAGAGUUUUGUUGAUCAAAAUUUUAUUCUAUGAAAUCCUAGAGACCACCCUUUAUAUAUAGACACUGCCCUAACACAUAUCAAGAAUCCUAUCAACUUAAAAAGGUAGAUUCUUAUCUCA